UACGUAGGGGCCUAGCGUUGUCCGGAUUUAUUGGGCGUAAAGAGCUCGUAGGCGGCUUGGUAAGUCAGGUGUGAAAUCUCCACGCUCAACGUGGAGGGGCCACCCGAAACUGCCACGGCUUGAGUCCGGUAGGGGAGUGUGGAAUUCCCGGUGUAGCGGUGAAAUGCGCAGAUAUCGGGAGGAACACCCGUAGCGAAGGCGGCACUCUGGGCCGGUACUGACGCUGAGGAGCGAAAGCGUGGGGAGCGAUCCGG
This 254-nucleotide ribosomal RNA is filed under the name uncultured bacterium. Its description in RNAcentral is "partial 16S ribosomal RNA". It matches the Rfam family "Bacterial small subunit ribosomal RNA", at positions 524 to 776 of the family's 1533-position model. The record is from RNAcentral.